Molecule: unclassified non-coding RNA, 377 nt
Filed under: uncultured delta proteobacterium
Lineage: Bacteria; Deltaproteobacteria
Description: contains 16S-23S intergenic spacer region
Source: RNAcentral
UCCGGUUUAACACCGGCAGUCUCCAUAGAGUGCCCAACUUAAUGGUGGCAACUAGGGAUAGGGGUUGCGCUCGUUAAGGGACUUAACCCGACAUCUCACGAUACGAGCUGACGACAGCCAUGCAGCACCUGUCACCCGGCCCCCGAAGGGGAGACCCUGUUUCCAGGGCUGUCCGGGGAUGUCAAGCCUAGGUAAGGUUCUUCGCGUAGCAUCGAAUUAAACCACAUGCUCCACCGCUUGUGCGGGCCCCCGUCAAUUCCUUUGAGUUUUAACCUUGCGGCCGUACUUCCCAGGCGGGGCACUUAAUGCGUUAGCGGCGACACUGCAGGGGUCAACUCCCGCAACAUCUAGUGCCCAUCGUUUACGGCGUGGACUAC